GCAAACUUGGUCAUUUAGAGGAAGUAAAAGUCGUAACAAGGUUUCCGUAGGUGAACCUGCGGAAGGAUCAUUAUCGAGAUCGUGCCCUCACGGGUAGACCUCCCACCCUUGACUACUACACCUUUGUUGCUUUGGCGGGCCGCCUAGGCCACCGGCUACCGCUGGUGAGCGCCCGCCAGAGGACCCAAAACUCUGAAUUAUUGUGUCGUCUGAGUACUAUAUAAUAGUUAAAACUUUCAACAACGGAUCUCUUGGUUCUGGCAUCGAUGAAGAACGCAGC
This 280-nucleotide unclassified non-coding RNA is filed under the name uncultured fungus. RNAcentral describes it as "partial contains small subunit ribosomal RNA, internal transcribed spacer 1, and 5.8S ribosomal RNA". The stretch from base 1 to 73 matches the Rfam family "Eukaryotic small subunit ribosomal RNA", at positions 1759 to 1831 of the family's 1831-position model. The record is from RNAcentral. Lineage: Eukaryota; Fungi.